This 519-nucleotide ribosomal RNA is filed under the name uncultured bacterium. Its description in RNAcentral is "bacterial SSU rRNA". It matches the Rfam family "Bacterial small subunit ribosomal RNA", at positions 32 to 526 of the family's 1533-position model. The record is from RNAcentral.
AAUCAACGCUGGCGGCGUGCCUCAGACAUGCAAGUCGAACGCGAAAUUUCCCUUCGGGGAGAAAGUAGAGUGGCGCACGGGUGAGUAACACGUAGGUAAUCUACCUUUGGAUGGGGGAUAACACCGAGAAAUCGGUGCUAAUACCGCAUAAUGCAGCGGCACCUAAUGGUGACAGUUGUUAAAGCGGGGGAUCGCAAGACCUCGCGUCUAAAGAGGAGCCUGCGGCGGAUUAGCUAGUUGGUAAGGUAAUGGCUUACCAAGGCGACGAUCCGUAACCGGCCUGAGAGGGCGGUCGGUCACACUGACACUGACAUACGGGUCAGACUCCUACGGGAGGCAGCAGUCGGGAAUUUUGGGCAAUGGGCGAAAGCCUGACCCAGCAACGCCGCGUGAAGGAUGAAAUCCCUCGGGAUGUAAACUUCGCAAGAACGGGAAGAAUAAGCCGGUGUGAAUACCACCGGCGAUGACGGUACCGUUUGUAAGCUCCGGCUAACUCCGUGCCAGCAGCCGCGGUAAUAC